This 953-nucleotide ribosomal RNA is filed under the name uncultured phototrophic eukaryote. Its description in RNAcentral is "bacterial SSU rRNA". It matches the Rfam family "Bacterial small subunit ribosomal RNA", at positions 9 to 995 of the family's 1533-position model. The record is from RNAcentral.
GAGUUUGAUCCUGGCUCAGGAUGAACGCUGGCGGCAUGCUUUACACAUGCAAGUUGAACGAAUUAAAGUUUUCGAAUUUUAGUUAAGUAGCGAACGGGUGAGUAAAACGUAAGAAUCUAUUUUUAGGUGAGGAAUAACUAAUGGAAACGUUAGCUAAUACCUUAUAAACUGAGAAGUGAAAAACUAAAAAUUGCCUAAAAGUGAGCUUGCGCCUGAUUAGCUUGUUGGUAAGAUAAUCGCUUACCAAAGCGACGAUCAGUAGUUGAUCUAAGAGGAUAAUCAACCACACUGGGACUGAGAUACGGCCCAGACCUCUACGGAGGGCAGCAGUGAGGAAUUUUCCGCAAUGGGCGAAAGCCUGACGGAGCAAUGCCGCGUGAAGGAUGAAGGCCUAUGGGUCGUAAACUUCUUUUCUUAAUGAAGAAAUAAGACGGUAAUUAAGGAAUAAGCAUCGGCUAACUCCGUGCCAGCAGCCGCGGUAAUACGGAGGAUGCAAGCGUUAUCCGGAAUUAUUGGGCGUAAAGGGUUUGUAGGCUACUUUUUAAGUCUACUGUUAAAGAAUAAGACUUAACCUUAGAAAAGCAGUAUGAAACUAAAAGGAUAGAGUUCAGUAGGGGUAGAGGGAAUUCUCGGUGUAGUAGUGAAAUGCGUAGAUAUCGAGAGGAACACCAAUAGCGAAAGCACUCUACUAGGCUGUAACUGACGCUAAGAAACGAAAGCUAGGGGAGCCAAUGGGAUUAGAUACCCCAGUAGUCCUAGCUGUAAACGAUGGAUACUAAGUAUUGGAUAAUAAAAAAUUCAGUGCUGUAGCUAACGCGUUAAGUAUCCCGCCUGGGGAGUAUGCCCGCAAGGGUGAAACUCAAAGGAAUUGACGGGGGCCCGCACAAGCGGUGGAGCAUGUGGUUUAAUUCGAUGCACGCGAAAAACCUUACCAGGAUUUGACAUCCCAUAUU